UGGAGGUAGUGACAAUAAAUCACAAUGCGGGACUAUCAGUCUUGCAAUUGGAUUGAGAACAAUGUACAACUCUUAUCGAUAAGCCAUUGGAGGGCAAGUCUGGUGCCAGCAGCCGCGGUAAUUCCAGCUCCAAUAGCGUAUAUUAACGUUGUUGCAGUUAAAAAGCUCGUAGUUGAAGUGUGGGUGAUCGCUAUUGUGAGACUUCGGUCUCUCGACAGUAAGUCACCCCCUUCCAGUAUCCAGUAGUGGGUAUUCAGUUACUUACUAUUGUGUGUUGGUCCUUUACUGUGAGAAAAUUAGAGUGUUCAAAGCAGGCGUUUGCUUGAAUAGAUUAGCAUGGAAUAAUAAUUGAAGGCUUUCGUGUUCGAUUUGAUUGGUUUGUUCAUGGAAGCAAGGUUAAAAGGAACAGUUGGGGGUAUUCAUAUUCACUAGUUAGAGGUGAAAUUCUCGGAUUUAUGGAAGAUGAACAAGUGCGAAAGCAACU
Molecule: ribosomal RNA, 484 nt
Filed under: Blastocystis sp. subtype 1
Lineage: Eukaryota; Bigyra; Opalinata; Blastocystidae
Description: SSU rRNA
Rfam family: Eukaryotic small subunit ribosomal RNA
Source: RNAcentral